UUUUUUUUUUUUUUUUUUUUUUUUUUUGAUAAGUCUGGCUAAAGGUUUAUCAAUUUUGUUGAUCUUUUCAAAGAAUCAGCUUUUUGUUUCAUUGAUCUUUACUCUGGUUAUCUCUGUUUUAUUUCAUUUAUUCCUGCUCUGAUCUUUAUGAUUUAUUUCCCUCUGUGCUAAUUUUAGGUUGUGUCUGUUCUUCUCUCUCUAGCUGCUUUAGAUGUAAAGUUAGCUUGUUUAUUCGAGCUUUUUCUUGUUUCCUGAGGUAGGUUUGCAUUGCUGUAAGCUUGCCUGUUAGAACUGCUUUUGCUGCAUCCCAUAGGUUUUGGAGUGUUGUGUCUUUGUUUUCGUUUGCUGCUAGGUAUUUUGUAAUUUCCUCUUUUCAUUUCUUCAGUGAUCCAUUGGUUGUUUAGUCGUUUGUUUAGUCUCCACGUGUUUGUACAGCAUUGAGGAUGGAAAAGAUGCUUGAUACGAUUUCAGUUUUCUUAGAAUUUCUGAGGCUUGGAGUUCCCAUCGUGGCUCAGUGGUUACUGAAUCCAACUAUGAACCAUGAGGUUGCAGGUUCGAUCCUUGGCCUUGCUCAGUGGAUUAAGGAUCUGGCGUUGCCAUGAGCUGUGGUGUAGGUUGCAGAUGCGGCUCGGAUCCUGAGUUGCUGUGGCUCUGGUGUAGGCCGGCAGCUACAGCUCCAACUGGACCCCAGCCUGGGGACCUCCAUAUGCUGUGGGUGCAGCCCUAGGAAAGACAAAAAGACCAAAAAAAAAAAAGUUUCUGAGGCUUGAUUUGUGGCCCAGAAUGUGAUCAGUCCUAGAGAAUGUUCCAUGUUCACUUGAGAAGAAUGUGUAUUCUGUUGCUUUUAGAUGGAAUGUCCUAUAAAUAUCUGUUAAGUCCAUUUGGUCUAAUGCUUCAUUCAGGGCCUGUGUUUCCUUGUUGAUUUUCUUACUGGAUGAUCUGUCCAUUGUUGUAAGUGGGGUGUUAAAGUCCCUCACUGUUAUCGUGUUCUUGUCAGUUUCUUCUUUUAAGGUUGUUAGCAGUUACCUUGUGUGUGUGUGUAUAUAUAUAUAUGGGGGAGGAGGGAGAGAGAGAGAGAGAGGUGAUCCUGUGUUGGGUGCAUAUGUAUUUACAAUUGUUAUAUCUUCUUGGAUUGAUCCUUUGAUCAUUGUGUAAUGUCCUUGUUUUUUAUAAUAUUUUUAGUUUUGAGAUCUGUUUUGUCUGAGUAUUGCUACUCCAGCUUUCUUUUGAUUUCCGUUUGCAUGGAAUAUUUUCUUCCAUCCUCUCACUUUGUCUGUAUGUCCCUAGAACUGGAUUUGGUCUCUUGAAGACAGCAUAUAUAUGGUUCUUGUUUUUGUAUCCAUUUAAUCAGUCCAUGUCUUUUGAUGAGGAGGGGCAUUUAGCCCAUUAACAUUUAAGGUAAUUAUUGAUAUGUAUGUUCUUAUUGCCAUUUUAUUAAUUGCUUUUGGGUUUGUUUUUUUUGGUCUUUUUCUUGUUCUCUUCUCUUGUGGUUUGAUAACUAUCUUUAGUGUUGUAUUUGAGUUGAUUCUUCUUAUUUGUAUGUGUAUCAAUUGUAGGUUUUUGUUUUGCAGAUACCCUGAAGUUUUGAUAUAGGCAUCUGUAUAUAUCAAGAUUGUUUUACAUUGUAGAUCUCUUAAUUGCAAGUGCAUCUCCAGUGUCCUGCAUUUGUACCCUCCACUUCUCACAAUUUCUGAUUUCGGUAGCAUAUUUGUGUGUGGAUGUUUUCCUUCCUUUACUGUAUAUGUAUGCCUUUACUGGUGAGCCGUGUCAUUUGUGGUAUUUUUGUUUCUAGUUGUUGCCUUUUCUUUUCUGCCUAGAGAAGUUUGUUUAGUAUUUGUUGUAAAGCUGGUUUAGUGAUGCUGAAUUCUCUUAACUUUUGCUUAUCUGUAAAGCUUUUGAUGUCUCCGAAUCUGAAUGAGAGCCUUGCUGGGUAAAGUGAUCUUGGUUGGAGAUUUUUUUCCCCUUUCUCACAUUAAGUAUAUCAUGCCACUCCCUUCUGGCCUGCAGAGUUUCUGCUGAAAAAUCUGCCGGUAACCUUAUCAGGGUUCCCUUGUAUGUUAUUUCUCCUCCCUAGCUGUUUUCAGUAUUUUCUCUUUGCCUUUAAUUUUGGUCAGUUUGAGUGUCUUCUGUGAUAAACAGUGAGAUACUGAAUGGAACAGGUAGUUUCUGCUGUGAUACUCUGUGGACUCUUCAACCUAUCUUGCUUCUGGCCAAGGAAGGCUAUGGUCGAAAGGGCAAAAUAGAAGAUCUUGAGCUCACUUCCUUCCCUGAGAACACCAAAAUCACAAAUAACUGUAAAACAGCUACCAAUUAAAAAAACUGGGAACUAUCAGAGUUCCUGUUGUGGUUCAAGAAUCCAACUAGUAUACGUGAGGAUGCAGUUUCGAUACCUAGCCUCACUCAGUGGGUUAGUUUCCAUCAUUGCCACAGGCUGCAGCAUAGGUCACGGACAUAGCUCAGAUCUGGCAUUGCUGUGGUGUAGGCUGGCAGCUAUGGCUCAGAUUCAACCCCUAGCCUGGGACCCUUCAUAUGCUGUGGUAGUGGCCCUUAAAAAAGACUAAUUAAAGGGAGUUCCCGUCAUGGUGCAGUGGUUAACGAAUCCGACUAGGAACCAUGAGGUUGCGGGUUCAAUCCCUGCCCUUGCUCAGUGGGUUGAUGAUCCGGCGUUGCCAUGAGCUGUGGUGUAGGUUGCAGACGCGGCUCGGAUCCCACAUUGCUGUGGCUCUGGCAUAGGCUGGUAGCUACAGCUCCGAUUAGACCCCUAGCCUGGGAAACUCCCACAUGCUGCGGGAGCAGCCCAAGAAAUGGCAAAAAGACAAAAAAAAAAAAAA
Molecule: long non-coding RNA, 2831 nt
Filed under: Sus scrofa (pig)
Lineage: Eukaryota; Metazoa; Chordata; Mammalia; Artiodactyla; Suidae
Description: lncRNA (ENSSSCG00040057302.1)
Source: RNAcentral